UCCUGUUACCCCGCAGAGGUGGACCCCAGGGAGGCAGGGGUGAGGACCCAGGUCUUGGAGAGGACCAGACACGGUGGCUCUUAAGUGGAGGCACCCCAGACUUCUUUCUUUUUGCUAGUUGGUCUUGGCACUUCCACUCGGCUUCAGGGGAUGUCAGGCUGGAUUUAGAACAAACCCACAGGCUCACAAGGCGUCCUCGGCGCCACCUUGGAGACCGCCAGCCCCAGAUACCACAUUUGUUCCUGAAACAGACCAAACAGGAGCUCAUGAGGACUCACAUCCCCGCAACUCUGGCCAAAGUCGUCCCUUCCAAAGACCCCCUCCAGUUAGCCUUCCCGCCGUGAAACACACAGGAACCCUGGAGGCUGCCUGAACAGCUCAGACAAAUGAACAGAGGACUGAGAGCGAGGAAGUACUGCGGAAUUGUUCACUUUUGCUAACAGUGUUGGGGCUCAGUUUAAAAACAUCCUUAUCCGUUAUAGUCACGUACAGAUGCAUGUACUGUUGAUAAGGCAUCUGGGAUAUGCUUUAAAAUAAAGCAAAAGAAAAAAAGGAAAAAA
Long non-coding RNA from Bubalus bubalis (water buffalo), 560 nucleotides. RefSeq lists it as uncharacterized. NCBI's taxonomy places the organism in Eukaryota, Metazoa, Chordata, Mammalia, Artiodactyla, Bovidae. The record is from RefSeq and is a predicted model, not a curated record. The transcript has 2 exons.